AGUGAACGCUGGCGGUAGGCCUAACACAUGCAAGUCGAACGGCAGCACAGUAAGAGCUUGCUCUUACGGGUGGCGAGUGGCGGACGGGUGAGGAAUACAUCGGAAUCUACUUUUUCGUGGGGGUUACCGAGGGAAAAUUUCCGCUAUAACGCAUAACGCCCUCGGGUGGAACCAGGGGGUUUUUCGACCUUUGGCGGGUUGAAGGAGCCGCGUCCGGUUUGCUAGUUGGGGGGGUAAAGGGCCACCAAGGCGACGAUCCGUAGCGGGUCUGGGAGGAUGAUCAGCCAGACUGGAACUGAGACACGGUCCAGACCCCUACGGGAGGCAGCAGUGGGGAAUAUUGGACAAUGGGCGCAAGCCUGAUCCAGCCAUACCGCGUGGGUGAAGAAGGCCUUCGGGUUGUAAAGCCCUUUUGUUGGGAAAGAAAAGCAGCAGGUUAAUACCCCGCGGUUCUGACGGUACCCAAAGAAUAAGCACCGGCUAACUUCGUG
RNAcentral lists this ribosomal RNA (491 nucleotides) under uncultured bacterium. RNAcentral describes it as "partial 16S ribosomal RNA". It matches the Rfam family "Bacterial small subunit ribosomal RNA", at positions 29 to 507 of the family's 1533-position model. The record is from RNAcentral.